AGAGUUUGAUCCUGGCUCAGGACGAACGCUGGCGGCGCGCCUAACACAUGCAAGUCGAACGAGCGAGAGAGAGCUUGCUUUCUCGAGCGAGUGGCGAACGGGUGAGUAACGCGUGAGGAACCUGCCUCAAAGAGGGGGACAACAGUUGGAAACGACUGCUAAUACCGCAUAAGCCCACAGGUCGGCAUCGACCAGAGGGAAAAGGAGCAAUCCGCUUUGAGAUGGCCUCGCGUCCGAUUAGCUAGUUGGUGAGGUAACGGCCCACCAAGGCAACGAUCGGUAGCCGGACUGAGAGGUUGAACGGCCACAUUGGGACUGAGACACGGCCCAGACUCCUACGGGAGGCAGCAGUGGGGAAUAUUGCACAAUGGGGGAAACCCUGAUGCAGCGACGCCGCGUGGAGGAAGAAGGUCUUCGGAUUGUAAACUCCUGUUGUUGAGGAAGAUAAUGACGGUACUCAACAAGGAAGUGACGGCUAACUACGUGCCAGCAGCCGCGGUAAAACGUAGGGUGCAAGCGUUGUCCGGAAUUACUGGGUGUAAAGGGAGCGCAGGCGGACCGGCAAGUUGGAAGUGAAAACUAUGGGCUCAACCCAUAAAUUGCUUUCAAAACUGCUGGCCUUGAGUAGUGCAGGGGUAGGUGGAAUUCCCGGGGGUACGGUGGAAUGCGUAGAUAUCGGGAGGAACACCAGUGGCGAAGGCGACCUACUGGGCACCAACUGACGCUGAGGCUCGAAAGCAUGGGUAGCAAACAGGGAUUAGAUACCCUGGUAGUCCAUGCCGUAAACGAUGAUUACUAGGUGUGGGAGGAUUGACCCCUUCAGUGCCGCAGUUACCACAAUAAGUAAUCCACUUGGGGAGUACGACCGCAAGGUUGAAACUCAAAGGAAUUGACGGGGGCCGGCACAAGCAGUGGAGUAUGUGGUUUAAUUCGAAGCAACGCGAAGACCCUUACCAGGUCUUGACAUCCGAUGCAUAGUGCAGAGAUGCAUGAAGUCCUUCGGGACAUCGAGACAGGUGGUGCAUGGUUGUCGUCAGCUCGUGUCGUGAGAUGUUGGGUUAAGUCCCGCAACGAGCGCAACCCUUAUUGCCAGUUACUACGUUAAGAGGACUCUGGCGAGUCUGCCGUUGACAAAACGGAGGAAGGUGGGGAUGACGUCAAAUCAUCAUGCCCUUUAUGACCUGGGCUACACACGUACUACAAUGGCGUUAAACAAAGAGAAGCAAGACCGCGAGGUGGAGCAAAACUCAAAAACAACGUCUCAGUUCAGAUUGCAGGCUGCAACUCGCCUGCAUGAAGUCGGAAUUGCUAGUAAUCGCGGAUCAGCAUGCCGCGGUGAAUACGUUCCCGGGCCUUGCACACACCGCCCGUCA
RNAcentral lists this ribosomal RNA (1373 nucleotides) under uncultured bacterium. RNAcentral's name for it is "bacterial SSU rRNA". It matches the Rfam family "Bacterial small subunit ribosomal RNA". The record is from RNAcentral.